CUCUGCAACUUUCCAGCAUUAGCAGCAGCACCUGAAAUCAACUCUGGUGGUGAUUUUCCUAACUUAUCGUCAUUGGUUUACGGGAACUGUGAAUCAAUUCAGCCUUACAAAGGUCUUCAACCUGAGAUUUUCUUCAAGAUAUCACAUGAGAUCUAUAACUAUAGAAAAGGGUAUGGCUGACGUUAUCGAAAGGAGGUUUGGUAGUACAAAAAAUACCUUACAACAAAAACAAGUCCAAUGAUGGACCAAUUGCAAUGGCAUCUGCUGGAUUUUUAGCUUCUAUUAGGUAAAUAUCUAUGGACCUGUAUUACUUUCAUUUAAAUUUCCCUGGUACGUGAUAUCCUACUAUGUGUAUAUUUGGUUAUGCAUCGGUGAAAGUACCAUUUUGUGCUUUACUAUUCUGCUGCUAUCAUUCAUUUAUGAAGGUAAGGUAUCAUGAAUUUGAGUCGAUAUGAGCAUGGGACUAACUGGUUGAUUGGUAGUUUAAUAUUGGCUCCUUAUAGUUCAAGAAAUGGGUUAUGUAUCUUAAACCAAAUCGUCGGGAUCAAACUGCAAUAGUGGUAUGGAUGUCGCAGUUUGUCUUCAGGGAUCAACGUCUAUAUGCGUUGAUGUUUUGCCACUGUCAAGGAAUGGGCGGGACGAAAUUCAGUGUUUAAGUGAAGAUGUUCGAGCUUCCAUUUAUUCUGGUUGCUAUUUUGGUGUGUUGCCUCAUGUGAGUCAGUUUUGAAAACAGGAUCUGUUGUUCCAGAAUUUAUCUAAAUUCUAAUUCUGAAACAACCGGCGCGUGUGUUGGAGAUGUUGGUAUAUCGGUGUUGUCAAGCUGAUGGGUUGAGACAGUUGUAAGUUUCCUACAUGUUUAUAACACCUUCACUAAACAAUUGUUUGUUGUGGAUAGAACGAUGUUAUGUCGUAAUGGAAUUGGUAUAAAAUGCUACUUUUUGUGGUCUCCUAUCGCUGCAUUUUUUCAUGAAAGAAUGACGCAUAUGUCGUUGGUGUCUCAUGUUAGUGGAAACAAAUAAGGUCUCCUAUCUUGCCGUUGUUUGCAGUGUUAUAUGGCCUAAGAAGAAUUAAACCUUCAACUGCAGAGAAUUAGAGUGCUUACUUACUCCGAGUGAAUUUCAAUGUUCGUCGAGGAAAAUGGAAAAUUCAGAAUAUGUACAAAAGUUCUUGAUAAUCUCUAUUAUUAUUUAUGAAUUAUAACCCUGCUUAUUUGAAUCAAAUAAUUUUAUUUAGUAUGGGAAAAGCAAGGUGAUGAGAUAAGCCUCGAGUAUGUUUGGAUUUAUGAUACAAAUAUGGAAAGAAAACAGUAUAGCUGGAUUGAUAAAAGAUAGGAUUAGUGCAGUUUCGCGCUAUUACUUGAAUAAUUUCCAUGAUGGCAUUCGGCAGGCAAUUUCAUUUAUGUUCACGGUUUGUAUCCUCAAUGGUUUGUAUCUUUUUAGUAUUUCAAUCUUGAUUUAUGUUAGAUGACGGUAAAGUACUUUCAUGGGGCCAUGAUGGACAAGGUCAGUUGGGUCACAAAUCUAUUGAAAACCAGAAGAUACCAACAAUAGUCGAGGCUACAGCUCAUGAGCAAAUAACUUUUAUCUUUCACCAAUGAGUCCUUGAGCAUAUUUUUAAUACAGUGCUCCAAAAUGCAUGAUACUAUAAAGGAAAGUUAUACAUGGGAAAUGCCGCAGAUUCGCAAUUUGGAUUUCUUGGACUACAACCACGCCUCAUUGAAGUCAAUUUUUUAAUGGAAGAUGAUGGAACCACACAACGUUGUAAGAGUACAUGUUGAUUAUGUCAUGUUGGCAUAAUAGAGAUAGCUGAUCUUGAAUAAGGUACAUUUUCAUAGAUGAAAUGCAGAAAAAGCUUUUUCUUUUUGUGGAGUACAAUUUCUCAAUGAAUAGAUGAUGAUUACAAUUGUUGUUACAGUGGAUUCAGAUCUUAAAGUCAUUAUCAAUGAACUAUCUUUACUAAAUUCAGUUUUGAUAACUAUAUUAUUGUGAGUAACGUUACAUAAAGAUCAACAUGCAUUUGAAGAAUCUCUUGCUAAAUGUAUGGUUCUUUACUCGAAUUUUUGUUCAUGGAAAUGUCAACGGCCUUAUGAAUAGUAAAAUAUAUGAGUACAUUUUGGUCUA
Vicia villosa (hairy vetch) is the source of this 2120-nucleotide long non-coding RNA. RefSeq lists it as uncharacterized. NCBI's taxonomy places the organism in Eukaryota, Viridiplantae, Streptophyta, Magnoliopsida, Fabales, Fabaceae. The record is from RefSeq and is a predicted model, not a curated record. The transcript has 4 exons.